Non-coding RNA from Meleagris gallopavo (turkey), 1614 nucleotides. Lineage: Eukaryota; Metazoa; Chordata; Aves; Galliformes; Phasianidae. The record is from RefSeq and is a predicted model, not a curated record.
UCUCAGUUCACUUAACCAUGGGAUCUGCUUAAUACAAAAGACACUAGGCUUUUUUCCUUUCACUUUCAGGUUUCUGAAGCACAUUCUCCCUAAGUUUCGGCAUCUUGUCUGCCUGAGACCUUAAGGCUACCCAGAAGUCUCUUUUGAAAUUGAGAAAGAUUCGAAGCUACUUAGCUUACAUAGCUGAAAUUAUGUCAGAUGACCUGUGAGAAACAGCAGGGACUUGAGGGACUAACCCUCAGCUAAGCAAGAAACUCAUAAUGAAGUACAGCUGGUCCAAACCGCUUCUGCUUACAUGAAGCUUCAGCACCUCUUUGAUGUACAGAUGACCCUGAAUCUUAGCUUGUGUGCAUGGAACUCCUACUGAAAACCUGAGGGUUUUGGUAUAAGACACAUCUGAGGAUUUUUUAAAACUUCUUAAGUUACAUGCAUGGAUUCUACACAGGUUUUUGUUAAGUGUAGUUUGAAUUGGGCUUUUUGUAUUGUUUUUGUGCUUGAAAGUUAAACAAGACUUAUAUGAGUUAUGUGUGUUUUUGUGCACUCGGUGUUGCAGUGUUCUACUUGGCUCCUGUUGAAGAAGUAGCUUAGCCUAUUCCAAACUUUGCUUUAACAAUGACCUUCUUUUGUGUUUUGCUGUUAUUCAACAUUUGCUAGUGUUUACUGACGUACUUCCCUUAUAUUCAGAAUAGAAAAUACCUGUAACUGUAGACUGUUUGGCACACAUCUUUUUUUGGAGUGGUUAUUCCUAUUUCUGUAGAUGGUGCUUUAUAUCCUUACUGAUGCAAAAUACGUAACUUUAACAAGCGUGUUUUGUCGUCUUCCCCAUAUGUGUUUGUAAAUUUCCACUGUUUAAAAUAUAAGAUAUCACUUUCAGUAUGAAGUGUUUUUCUCACAGAUAAUGUUCUCCUUCAUGUAGUUGCUAAGCAGUGUGUAAAUCCAAAUAUAGAGGUUUUUUAAAGUCAUUUUCAGACUGCUGGUAGCCCACCAGGUUAUUGAUGCACAGUGCUCUGAUAUUUUCUCCCUUUAAUACUAAAACCAUAGCAAAAAUGCUACUAAAGAAUAUGUUUCACAUAUUUACCAUAGGUUUGCAAGACACUUUACUUUGUGGUACACACCUGUGAUUGACUUCUGUGAAUAAUAGAUGUUGAAUUUACAACAGGACUCAAUUCUGCUAACUAGUUUUCAGAGCUGUUAAGAAAGAAGAAUCUUUAGAAGGUACUGCUGGCUGUUAGUAUGUGCACAUGCUCACUGUGAGGCUUUUAGCCAGGACCAAAAUCUUAAGUGCAGUAGCGAAAUUGGAUGUUAAAGUUAUUUAGAAUUGGAAUUUAUUGUUCUAAGUAUAGAGUAAAAUAGUGACAAGUGAUAACUGGUGGACAGAUAAACUGGUCUCAUCAAGCAACAAUAAAUGUCAGUGGGUGCCAUUUCUUCUGCACGGAGGAAUUCAGUGAAAAACCUUUGCUUUACGUGUACUUCCAUGUCAGACAUCAUUCUGUCAGAUUGUCCCUCUGCUGCUAUCUAUUGUGUGGCAACAGAAUGCACUGGAAUAUUGUUGGGAAGGUUCAGUCUUGGCUCCCAUACCACCAACAUCCACCUCUGAUGUUGUGGAUCAACAUA